AAUCAAACCCAGCCCACUCUCCAGGAAUUAAUCAGCUGCUGUCACGUUCAAUGCCAAGGCAAAAAGAGCUGCCGCUUGAAAACAGUGACUCGGAAAUCAGCAGGACAGACAGCUCACUCUAGUCCUUUCAUCAGAGUUACCUCGGGCUGCCAGGCUCCUCUGUUCGUGGAAUUUCUCAGGCAAGAAUACUGGAGCAGGUUGCCAUUUCCUACUCCAGGGGAUCUUCCCAACCCAGGAAUCGAAGUCACAUCCUCUGUGUCUCCUGCACUGACAGAGAAUGAAAAUAUUGUCCAGACAUGGAAGCAACCUAGAUGCCCAUCAGCAGAUGAAUGGAUAAGGAAGCUGUGGUACAUAUACACCAUGGAAUAUUACUCAGCCAUUAAAAAGAAUUCAUUUGAAUCAGUUCUAAUGAGAUGGAUGAAACUGGAGCCCAUUAUACAGA
Molecule: long non-coding RNA, 442 nt
Organism: Dama dama (fallow deer)
Lineage: Eukaryota; Metazoa; Chordata; Mammalia; Artiodactyla; Cervidae
Exons: 3
Source: RefSeq, a predicted model, not a curated record